This 484-nucleotide ribosomal RNA is filed under the name uncultured bacterium. RNAcentral describes it as "partial 16S ribosomal RNA". It matches the Rfam family "Bacterial small subunit ribosomal RNA", at positions 28 to 523 of the family's 1533-position model. The record is from RNAcentral.
GACGAACGCUGGCGGCGUGCUUAACACACGCAAGUCGAACGAUGAAGCCGGAGCUUGCUCUGGUGAAUUAGUGGCGAACGGGUGAGUAACACGUGAGUAACCUGCCCUUGACUCUGGGAUAACUGCGGGAAACUGUAGCUAAUACCGGAUACGACCCUCGGAGGCAUCUCCUGGGGGUGGAAAGAAUUUCGGUCAAGGAUGGACUCGCGGCCUAUCAGCUAGUUGGUGAGGUAAAGGCUCACCAAGGCGACGACGGGGAGCCGGCCUGAGAGGGUGACCGGCCACACUGGGACUGAGACACGGCCCAGACUCCUACGGGAGGCAGCAGUGGGGAAUAUUGCACAAUGGGCGCAAGCCUGAUGCAGCAACGCCGCGUGAGGGAUGACGGCCUUCGGGUUGUAAACCUCUUUUAGCAGGGAAGAAGCGAAAGUGACGGUACCUGCAGAAAAAGCACCGGCUAACUACGUGCCAGCCGCCGCAGUAA